GGUUGACUUGAGGAAGGUAGGGGAGAAUGGAAUUCCUGGUGGAGCGGUGGAAUGCGCAGAUAUCAGGAGGAACACCAGUGGCGAAGGCGGUUCUCUGGGCCUUUCCUGACGCUGAGGAGCGAAAGCGUGGGGAGCGAACAGGCUUAGAUACCCUGGUAGUCCACGCUGUAAACGGUGGGUACUAGGUGUGGGGUCCAUUCCACGGGUUCCGUGCCGUAGCUAACGCUUUAAGUACCCCGCCUGGGGAGUACGGCCGCAAGUGUGAAACUCAAAGGAAUUGACGGGGGCCCGCACAAGCGGUGGGUCGACGCGGCCG
This 316-nucleotide ribosomal RNA is filed under the name uncultured bacterium. Its description in RNAcentral is "bacterial SSU rRNA". It matches the Rfam family "Bacterial small subunit ribosomal RNA", at positions 635 to 947 of the family's 1533-position model. The record is from RNAcentral.